GAGGGUAUAGCUCUAGUGGUAGAGCACAUGCUUAGCAUGCAGGAGGCCCUGGGUUCAAUCUCCAGAACCUUCU
Molecule: transfer RNA, 73 nt
Filed under: Camelus bactrianus (Bactrian camel)
Lineage: Eukaryota; Metazoa; Chordata; Mammalia; Artiodactyla; Camelidae
Also listed under: 2 other names
Rfam family: tRNA
About the family: Transfer RNA (tRNA) molecules are approximately 80 nucleotides in length. Their secondary structure includes four short double-helical elements and three loops (D, anti-codon, and T loops). Further hydrogen bonds mediate the characteristic L-shaped molecular structure. tRNAs have two regions of fundamental functional importance: the anti-codon, which is responsible for specific mRNA codon recognition, and the 3' end, to which the tRNAs corresponding amino acid is attached (by aminoacyl-tRNA synthetases). tRNAs cope with the degeneracy of the genetic code in two manners: having more than one tRNA (with a specific anti-codon) for a particular amino acid; and 'wobble' base-pairing, i.e. permitting non-standard base-pairing at the 3rd anti-codon position.
Source: Rfam by way of RNAcentral